AUUGAACGCUGGCGGCAGGCCUAACACAUGCAAGUCGAGCGGUAGAGAGAGGCUUGCUUCUCUUGAGAGCGGCGGACGGGUGAGUAAUACCUGGGAAUCUGCCUGAUAGUGGGGGACAACAGUCGGAAACGGACGCUAAUACCGCAUACGUCCUACGGGAGAAAGCAGGGGAUCUUCGGACCUUGCGCUAUCAGAUGAGCCCAGGUCGGAUUAGCUUGUUGGUGAGGUAACGGCUCACCAAGGCUGCGAUCCGUAACUGGUCUGAGAGGAUGAUCAGUCACACUGGAACUGAGACACGGUCCAGACUCCUACGGGAGGCAGCAGUGGGGAAUAUUGGACAAUGGGGGAAACCCUGAUCCAGCCAUGCCGCGUGUGUGAAGAAGGUCUUCGGAUUGUAAAGCACUUUAAGUUGGGAGGAAGGGCUGAUGCUUAAUACGUAUCAGUCUUGACGUUACCGACAGAAUAAGCACCGGCUAACUCCGUG
RNAcentral lists this ribosomal RNA (484 nucleotides) under uncultured bacterium. RNAcentral describes it as "bacterial SSU rRNA". It matches the Rfam family "Bacterial small subunit ribosomal RNA", at positions 30 to 507 of the family's 1533-position model. The record is from RNAcentral.